RNAcentral lists this transfer RNA (75 nucleotides) under Chloroflexota bacterium. RNAcentral's name for it is "tRNA-Thr". It matches the Rfam family "tRNA". From Rfam's summary of the family: Transfer RNA (tRNA) molecules are approximately 80 nucleotides in length. Their secondary structure includes four short double-helical elements and three loops (D, anti-codon, and T loops). Further hydrogen bonds mediate the characteristic L-shaped molecular structure. tRNAs have two regions of fundamental functional importance: the anti-codon, which is responsible for specific mRNA codon recognition, and the 3' end, to which the tRNAs corresponding amino acid is attached (by aminoacyl-tRNA synthetases). tRNAs cope with the degeneracy of the genetic code in two manners: having more than one tRNA (with a specific anti-codon) for a particular amino acid; and 'wobble' base-pairing, i.e. permitting non-standard base-pairing at the 3rd anti-codon position. The record is from RNAcentral. Lineage: Bacteria; Bacillati; Chloroflexota.
GCCGGUGUAGCUCAGUGGUAGAGCAGCUGUUUUGUAAACAGCAGGUCGUGGGUUCAAUUCCUAUUACCGGCUCCA